GGCGAGGGGAGUGAAAAAGAACCUGAAACCGUGUACGUACAAGCAGUGGGAGCCUACUUGUUAGGUGACUGCGUACCUUUUGUAUAAUGGGUCAGCGACUUAUAUUCUGUAGCAAGGUUAACCGAAUAGGGGAGCCGAAGGGAAACCGAGUCUUAACUGGGCGUUAAGUUGCAGGGUAUAGACCCGAAACCCGGUGAUCUAGCCAUGGGCAGGUUGAAGGUUGGGUAACACUAACUGGAGGACCGAACCGACUAAUGUUGAAAAAUUAGCGGAUGACCUGUGGCUGGGGGUGAAAGGCCAAUCAAACCGGGAGAUAGCUGGUUCUCCCCGAAAGCUAUUUAGGUAGCGCCUCGUGAACUCAUCUUCGGGGGUAGAGCACUGUUUCGGCUAGGGGGCCAUCCCGGCUUACCAACCCGAUGCAAACUACGAAUACCGAAGAAUGUUAUCACGGGAGACACACGGCGGGUGCUAACGUCCGUCGUGAAGAGGGAAACAACCCAGACCGCCAGCUAAGGUCCCAAAGUCAUGGUUAAGUGGGAAACGAUGUGGGAAGGCACAGACAGCCAGGAUGUUGGCUUAGAAGCAGCCAUCAUUUAAAGAAAGCGUAAUAGCUCACUGGUCGAGUCGGCCUGCGCGGAAGAUGUAACGGGGCUAAACCAUGCACCGAAGCUGCGGCAGCGACACUAUGUGUUGUUGGGUAGGGGAGCGUUCUGUAAGCCGUUGAAGGUGGCCUGUGAGGGUUGCUGGAGGUAUCAGAAGUGCGAAUGCUGACAUAAGUAACGAUAAAGCGGGUGAAAAGCCCGCUCGCCGGAAGACCAAGGGUUCCUGUCCAACGUUAAUCGGGGCAGGGUGAGUCGACCCCUAAGGCGAGGCCGAAAGGCGUAGUCGAUGGGAAACAGGUUAAUAUUCCUGUACUUGGUGUUACUGCGAAGGGGGGACGGAGAAGGCUAUGUUAGCCGGGCGACGGUUGUCCCGGUUUAAGCAUGUAGGCGGAGGUUCCAGGUAAAUCCGGUACCUUUUAACGCUGAGGUGUGAUGACGAGGCACUACGGUGCUGAAGUAACAAAUGCCCUGCUUCCAGGAAAAGCCUCUAAGCAUCAGGUAACACGAAAUCGUACCCCAAACCGACACAGGUGGUCAGGUAGAGAAUACCAAGGCGCUUGAGAGAACUCGGGUGAAGGAACUAGGCAAAAUGGUGCCGUAACUUCGGGAGAAGGCACGCUGAUAUGUAGGUGAAGCCCCUGCGGGUGGAGCUGAAAUCAGUCGAAGAUACCAGCUGGCUGCAACUGUUUAUUAAAAACACAGCACUGUGCAAACACGAAAGUGGACGUAUACGGUGUGACGCCUGCCCGGUGCCGGAAGGUUAAUUGAUGGGGUUAGCGGUAACGCGAAGCUCUUGAUCGAAGCCCCGGUAAACGGCGGCCGUAACUAUAACGGUCCUAAGGUAGCGAAAUUCCUUGUCGGGUAAGUUCCGACCUGCACGAAUGGCGUAAUGAUGGCCAGGCUGUCUCCACCCGAGACUCAGUGAAAUUGAACUCGCUGUGAAGAUGCAGUGUACCCGCGGCAAGACGGAAAGACCCCGUGAACCUUUACUAUAGCUUGACACUGAACACUGGUCCUUGAUGUGUAGGAUAGGUGGGAGGCUUUGAAGCGUGGACGCCAGUCUGCGUGGAGCCGACCUUGAAAUACCACCCUUUAAUGGCUGGUGUUCUAACGUAGACCCGUAAUCCGGGUUGCGGACAGUGUCUGGUGGGUAGUUUGACUGGGGCGGUCUCCUCCCAAAGAGUAACGGAGGAGCACGAAGGUUAGCUAAUCCUGGUCGGACAUCAGGAGGUUAGUGCAAUGGCAUAAGCUAGCUUGACUGCGAGAGUGACGGCUCGAGCAGGUGCGAAAGCAGGUCAUAGUGAUCCGGUGGUUCUGAAUGGAAGGGCCAUCGCUCAACGGAUAAAAGGUACUCCGGGGAUAACAGGCUGAUACCGCCCAAGAGUUCAUAUCGACGGCGGUGUUUGGCACCUCGAUGUCGGCUCAUCACAUCCUGGGGCUGAAGUAGGUCCCAAGGGUAUGGCUGUUCGCCAUUUAAAGUGGUACGCGAGCUGGGUUUAGAACGUCGUGAGACAGUUCGGUCCCUAUCUGCCGUGGGCGCUGGAGAAUUGAGGGGGGCUGCUCCUAGUACGAGAGGACCGGAGUGGACGCAUCACUGGUGUUCGGGUUGUCAUGCCAAUGGCACUGCCCGGUAGCUAAAUGCGGAAGAGAUAAGUGCUGAAAGCAUCUAAGCACGAAACUUGCCCCGAGAUGAGUUCUCCCUGAGACUAUAAGUCUCCUGAAGGAACGUUGAAGACGACGACGUUGAUAGGUCGGGUGUGUAAGCGCAGCGAUGCGUUGAGCUAACCGAUACUAAUGAACCGUGAGGCUUAACCUU
RNAcentral lists this ribosomal RNA (2418 nucleotides) under Enterobacter cloacae. Its description in RNAcentral is "bacterial LSU rRNA". It matches the Rfam family "Bacterial large subunit ribosomal RNA", at positions 528 to 2925 of the family's 2925-position model. Lineage: Bacteria; Pseudomonadati; Pseudomonadota; Gammaproteobacteria; Enterobacterales; Enterobacteriaceae. The record is from RNAcentral.